UGUGCAUUAAGCAAUCAGAAACAAGAGAAAGACAUAAAAAGAUGCCAAGUAAUUGGAUAGAAUGCUAGAGAUAUUUGUCUUUCCUGGUAAAAAGGGUUUUUCAGUAAAUAUGAGUGUUUAAUAACAGCCCUAUCAGCAGUGAUUUAUAGUGAAUGAAGUUUAGCUGACUACCAAAGACAAUUUAUUUCCAAGAAAACUGAUAUUAUAUUCUAAGUAGUAUGCAUCCUGCUCUAUAAUAUGAUAUACAUGGAAUACACAAACAUGAUCUUAUUCACUCUCGUAGGUUUUGAGGACUGAUCAUUUUUCACUCCCUCCACCCCAAAUAUUGGGAGUCAAACCCAGAGAUUUGCAUGUGUCAGGUAAUUGCUGUAUCACAGAGAUACACCUUAGCCCAGAACUGAUCAUUUUUAUGGUUGUUGAACAUAUACUUUUCAUUCAACAUAAAAAAAUAGUAUUAAGGCAGAACCCCUUAAAUCUUAAAGCCAACAUUUCAGUAGACCAAGGAACCAAAUAACCAGAUGAAUUAAAUUUUUAAAAAAUCAGUUAGAAAUAGGUUUUAUAGGAUUAUUAAAAUAGAAUAAUAUGACAAUCUCUUCAUAUUGGAAGGUUAAACUUUCCUAAGGAGAAGUCAUUUAAACUGAUGUCUGAAAGACAAGAAUGUUGGAGAUUCAAAAUUUUAAAGGUUUGUUCUCUGUGAGUCAGGGAGAAAUUCUAAGAAUUUUUCUCUAUAAAUAUCUCUAUUUUCCUCUGGAAAAAUUAAUUGGUAGAAUUACAUAGUUUCAUAUUAUCAUUUGUUCUCCACUAUUUUAUUUUAAGCCUGAUCUAUAUAAGCAAAAUAGAUCAUUUCUUUCUUCAGAGGAAGUCCACACAAGGCACUAUGAAUAGGCUGAGAACUUGAUAUUUCCCUGCCCCUGAUUUGAUCUCAGGGUUUUCUUCACCUGUACUUAACUUCUAACCCCACAUAUAAAGUGCCUAGCAGUGCUUCAAGCAACUUUCUGAAGAGAUUUUUAUCCAUUUGGUAAAAGCAAAAGCUAGGUAAAAGAAUAUAAUUAUAUAAUAAGCGUUGUCAAAUCUGGUAGCCUAUUCAAGUCAUGUAGGAUACUUUUAUAAAUUUCUGAUACCAGGUUAUAUAAAUUAAAUUAGAGCUUCUGAGGGGUGGGCCCCAAAUUCCAGGAAUAAAUGUCAUUAUAGGUGAUUUAUCUAGCAUCGAUAACCAUUCUCCAGUCCAGAAAAUUGUAUUCAAUAUAAUUUACAAUACCAUUACAUGCUACUUUCUUUGUAGAAAAUAAAAACAUCACAAUAGAAUUUAUGAAUUAUUUUUUCAGGUGAAUAUUAUGCAUGUUAAAGAUGGUUAAAAUAACCAAACCCAAGUGGAAUAAUCCAAAUCUGAACCAGUUGAGGAAUAAACAAAAUAAAGAAUAGUCAUUUAAUUCCUUUAGUUUCAUUAAUUAUAUUUGCCAGUAAAAAAAAAUGAAAUACUUAUGUAUCCUAAAGUACAAAUAAUAAACCUGGAACAUAUUAUCUUUAGUGUAAAAAGACAAUCACUAAAGACUACAUAUUAUAUUGUUGCAUUUAUUUUCAAUGUCCAGGAAAGGCAAACCUUUGAAGAUAAAUAGCAGAUUAUGGUUGCCUGAUGCUCUACAUGGGGUGGAGAAAGGGAAUGAUCUCCUGUGAGCACAAAUGAUCCAUUUGGGAUAAUGUAAGUUCUAAAAAGAAUUUUUUUACACAAUUCUAUAAAUAUACCGAAAAUCAGCAUUAUAUUUUUCUGGCCAUCAAAGGAUCUCCUUCAUGUAAAUGAUGAACAGUUUUAAAUAAAAGGCAUUUUCAUAUUUUUGGUUUUAAAUUAUUUUAAGGUAUUACUGUCAUAGAAACUAUAAGUACUAGUUUACAUUUCACUAGUAUUUUUCUCAUUAAAGUUCUAAAGGUAAAAUUAAUAAAAAUUGGGACACAUGAAUACUAAUACCACCUAAGCAAAUUAAAAAUCGGUGAUCAUUAUAAAACACUACUAUAAACUAUGAUAAAAAUGAGGCUAAAUUUCAUCUAUAAUACAAUGACAAAAUAUACAGAUUUAAAACUAUUCUGGUUCCUAUUCAUUUUCCAUAUAUGUUAAUUUUACAUUUUUGUGGUUGUGAGAUGAGUUUUCUAAAUCUAAUUUAUAUUAUAUGAAGUCAGAAUUUCAAUUAUAGUAUUAAUUGUUCAAAAAAGGGAUAAAAUCAACUCAGAAAGUCACUAAAUGAUUUACUGAUUAUUAAUUUCUCAUCUAUUUCUGCACUAUUGAAAGAUUUGUGCAAGAUCUAAGUAUUUCAGCUCUAAAUAUACAUAACGAUAGAAUAGAAUAAGCUAUAAGAGAGCAAGCAAAUUUUAUUUGUAAGGGAAGAAAUAUAAGAAAACUGUUGCAAAAAUGCAGUAAAUGUGUGUUAAUGCGUUAAACAUUGUAGUAAAAAAUUAAAAGAUCAAGUUAAUGGGCAUAAUCCAAUGUACUGUGGGCUAAUAGAGACCUAUCUCACAUUAAAGACCUAAAGACCAGCACAGUACUGCUCUUCUCAAUCCAUGGCUAAGAUUAGAGAUGAGUGAUUAGCUGUAGACUUUGACUAAAGAAUAUUUGUGAUUUUUUUUAACAUAGAGAAUGAUUUGUGAUAACAAAGCUAAUUUAUGCAGAAAAAUUUUUAAUAUGUUAUAUGGAAGACAUUUUUUAUGAUAUAUUCCUGGGGUUAAUUAUCUUUGUAAUAUACAUUCAAAUAUCACUUAGAGUAAAUAUUUAAUGAUUAGGAAGUCUACAGAUUCAUUAUGUAUAUGAGAUUUUGCACUCUGAUUAUUUCUGAGAUUGUAUUUAGAAAGUUAAGGCAAUAGUGAGAUUAAAUAUCACAUUACAUAUGAUCCAAGGUUAGGAUUCUUGAAAGAAAAUUUGUGAUUUGUUCAAUUUUGAAUCUCAAAUACAGGUUAGCAUAUUACUUGUACAAAUGUAUUUUUUCUUUAUUGUCUUGAAAUUACCUUCUUUGAGAAUAAUUGUUCAUAAAAGUGCUUUUAACCUGCAAAUUUCUGUUUUUCUAUUAAUUAAAUCAGUAGGUAAGCAUCUGCUAACAGCAUUUUUUUAAUCACAUUCUGGCUAAAGUCCUAGAAAAAAUUGUUAAUAUAUAUUUCAUUUUGGUUAAGUGGCUUAACAGUUAAUAUUUAACUAAAAUAACAGAACAGUUUGGCUUAUAGAAAUAUGCUAUGUAAGUGAGUAAGCAUGUAUGAGAGAGACAUAAUAAUAUGUAUGUGUGCAUGUGUGUGUGUGUGCAUAACCAUGAUGGGUUAGUACAUAUUGGGUUAGUAGGGGCUAAUCACAUAGAUAUGGAGUCUAAGUCAGAUACACCUGCAUAAGUUAGUUAAUCCCUUCAAUUAUGAAUUUCUUUACCUACAUAGGGGAAAUAAAAUAUUAAAUGUUAUUCAAUGAGAGAAUAUUUUUAAAAAUUUCAGUAGAGUAUGGCAUACAUUAAGCUUCAUAUACAAUUCAGCUAUUAAACAUUUUGAAUUAUUAUACUAGCAGUUGUAAAGCAAAAAGAGCACACCUUAUUUUAAAUUACUAUUGUUAUUCACAGUGUAGUUUAGAGGAUGGUUUCUAAAAACAUGUUAUUAAUAAUAAAGCAUUUCAUUCUUAUUAAACAUAUAUAAUAUUAUAAAAAAGAAGGGGAAUAUUACAAAUAUAGUUGAAACUGUCUCUGUGAUAGGUAGUGCAACCACUUCUAGAUUCAUGUUUACCAUUUUCUUGCUUUCCAUCACAUUUCAAAGACAUAAAUUAACUCUAAAAAUAUAUUGUUUAUCUUUGUAUAUUUUAUAUCCUUUAUGAUGAGAUCAUAAUAUGAAUCUGAAAAUUAUUCUUUUCCAUGAAAAAUUACCUCCCUGAAGUGGAUUUAUUUUGAUAUAUGCAGCUAGUUCACAUAUUUUCACUAUAUGUGGUUUAAUACAACCUGCACAAAAUGUAUGAAAGGAAAUAAAUGAAACAUUCUCUGAAAAACUUUAUGCAUUUACUUUAAAAACUAAUGACAAAAGGGCUGGGGUUGUGGCACAGUGGCAGAGUGCUUGCCAGGGACAUGUGAGACACUGGGUUCAAUUGUCAGCACCACAUAAAAAUAAAUAAAAUAAAGGUAUUGUGUCCAUUGACAACUAAAAAAUAUUUUUAAAAAACCCUGACAGAAGAAACUUCUUUAAUCCAUUAAAGGCUAGCUACAAAAGCUUAUUAUACAAGUAUGUUAUACAUUAACAACAUUUCCCUGAAAAUCAGUUGAAUAAAAAGGUACUUUCCAUGAGCACCUUUAUUCAAUAUUAUAGUGUAGAGCAUUAUUAGUGACAUAAGAUCAAAAAAGAAAAGACAUAAAACUAGAGAAGAACAAAAAUCAAUGUCAUUAAUAUUUUCAUUCAUAAUCACAGUUCCAGAUAAUUUUUAUCACUUCUUCUUGGUUUUUAUUUCUACAAACCCCUAUUGCACAAAGGGGCUUUUUAAAAAUUAUUUUUCUAAUUCUACCUUUCCCUUAUGUUGGUUUGGAAAUUAUAUAGCCUGUGCCAAUCACUUUGGUUGUAAUCAUUGGGAUUUAAGCAUACAUUUUAAUUCAAUGUUUGAGGCUAGAUAUUUAACCAUGUCUACCUUUGAUCAAUAUAUUUACAUUUCUCUCAAAAUUUGUAAAACCAUACUAAAGCCUUAACUCUGAUUUUUUUCCAUUUCCCUUUAUCCAUUUUUGAGUUGUGUCUAGUGAUUUUCAUAUUCUUUCAUACAUUUUAAUAUUAUCUAUAAUCAGAAUUUGCUUGAAUAUAUUCACACACUUGUUUAUUGCCCACAUUUCAUUCUUCCAAUAAUUUCUUUAUUUGGUUAUUUUCAUUCAUUAUCUAGUAAAGUAUGCAAAUUCUUUUACUUCAGAUACAUUGUAAACUCCCUCCGCUUUUGCUUGUCUGAAAAUGUCUAUUUAACUAUUAUUUCUAAAAUACAGCUUUGCUAGGAACAUGCUUCUGUACUAAAAGCUAUGUUCAAAAUUUAUUUCAGUUUUUUAUGUCUUAGAAAAUCUGCUGUCAGCCUAAUUGUCAUUUUGUGGAUUAUGUCUUUCUUAUCUGGUAGCAUUUAAUGUUUUUUCUCAACUGUUACUAUUGGCAGUUUUACCUUGAAUCAUCCAAGUUUUAUUUCUUUUUAUUAUCUCAUUUGGUAUUUAUCAGAAUUACCAAAUUUAAGACUGGUAUCUUUCAGCAGUUCUAAUCAUUUUUUAAGGCAUUAUCAUAAAUAUUACCUGUUCUGCAUUCCUUUUACUCUCCUUUAUGAAAACCUAAUUUAAAAAUAAUGCCUCAUCUAGUAUAUUGAAAAUAUUACCCUUUCUUAUUUGGUCUCAUCUCUUUAUCUGUUCCUCUUUCUGGAAAACUUAUUCAUAUUGGUCAGCUAAUUUACAAAUAUUUUAUUAAUUUUUUAAUUUGCUAGAAUUUCUAGUUUGUUAGAUUUCUGAGUUAGUCAUUAUUUAAUUUUUAGAAAUUCAGCUGGAUUCUUUCUAAAUUUGUGAUGGUUAUAGUGAUGCUUGUUUAUUCAUGAUGUUUUUCAAAUAUUUGGAAUAUUUUAUUUCUUUUUUAACUUUGUAAGAACGUUGUCUUAUAAUCUGAUUAUUUCAUUAUCUAUAUCUUCUUGUGUAUAUCUGAUUUGUUUUUGCUAAUAUUAUGUCAUUGAACUGUGCUUCUUCAUGUUUAAUAAUUUGAAUUUUUUAUUAGUACAGUUGAUAUUAAAAUAACUGUACAUAUUUAAUAUGCACAAUUUGAUGAGCUUUUACAUAUGCAAACAUAUAAGUACCAUCAUCAUAAUCAGAGUAGUAAACAUAUUUAAGACUUGUCAAUCUUUUUGUAUGCGUGUUUCCUUUUCCUGUGUCUGUUAUUGUGAAACAAACACUAAAAAUAAAAUCUUUUCUCUUAGCAAACUUUUAAUUGUACAAUACUAUAUUGUUAAAUAUAAGCACUGAUUUCUCUAGAAAUUAUUCAACUAGCAUAGUUGUAAUAAUACCUUUUGAAUAAUAGCACUCCAUUUCUCCCACCCCCAAGCACCUAGAAACCACCAUUCUAGCUUCUACUUUUAUGAGUUUGAGUGUUUUAAAUACUUCAUAUAAGAGGAAUCAUGCAAUAUUUGUCCUUCUAUGACUGGUCAAUUUUCACUUGGAAUAAUGUCCUUCAAUUUCAUGCAUACUCUUACAAAUGCAGAAUUUCCGUCUUCUUUAAGACUGAAUAUCAGUCCACUGUGUGGUGUAUGUGUUUGUGUGUGUGUGUGUGUGUGUGUAUUUGCUUUAUUCAUUUGUUGAUGUAUUGUGGUGUUGCUUCUAUAUUUUGAUUAUGUACUGUGAAUAGUUUUGCAAUGACAUUGGAAUUCAGGUGUCUGUGGUUCGGUUCCUUUGAAUAUAAAUCAAGUAGUGAGAUUAUUGAAUCUUAUUGUAGUUCUAUUUUUAAUUUUUGAGGAGUUUUUAUACUGUUUUCCAUAGCUUCUAUACCAUUUUACAUCCGCAUCACAGUGUGUAAGGAUUUUGAUUUAUCCACAAUCUCAUCAACACUUAUUGUCUUUGUAUUUUAAUAAUAUUCAUCCUAACUGAUGUAAAGUUGUAUCUCUUUGUAGUUUUGAUUUGCAUUUUCCAGAUAAUUAUGUCCCUAAUUAUAUUUUAAUGUAUCUGUUGGCUAUUUGCAUGUCUUCUUUGGAGAAAUGUCUUUGAAAAUAUUUGCCCAUUUUUAAUUAGGUUAUUCUUUUUUAAAAUAUUGAGUUGGUAAUUCCUUAACACUUUGAAAAUUAAUCCCUUAUUAGCUAUGUUGUUUCUAAGACAUAGAGUGGUUUUCUCAUUCUGUUGAUCAUUUCCAUGGUUGUGCAGAUACUUUUCAGUUUGUUUUGGUCUCACUUAUCUGUUCUUCUUAUUUUUUUAUUGUAUUGUGGUAUCAUAUCCAAAAAAUUGUUGCCAAGACUAAUGUUAAGAAAGGCUUCUCCUGUGUUUUUUUCUAGAACUUUCAAGUCCCGCAUUUGACUCUUCAAUUUUUAGUUGAUUUUUGUGUAUGGUAUAAGGUAGGGGAACAAUUUCAAUUUUACAUGUAAACAUCCCAUUUUCCCAGAACCCUUUGUUGAAGAGACUGUCUUUUAACAAUUAUGUAGUCAUACCAAACUUAUGAAAGAUCUGUUGUCUACACUGUUUGAGAACUCAUAAUCCUUAAAAUUCAAUCUGUUGGAAUUAUCUAAGGAAUGGGUUAUGGUCUGUUUCUCCAAAUAAAAUUCAUAUUUUUAUCUGGCAACUGCCUAGAAACACUACCCAAUACAGACCAAUUAAAACAGUUCCAUUGUUAUUCCUUUUUUUUUUUUUUUUUUUUUUUUGCUUUUGUUGUUCUGUUUGGCUUAUUUUUAAAAAAUAACUAUAGAAUGAAUCAUACACUCUAAAUGGAAUGGGAACAAAUUAGUUGUUUCAAGAUAAAUUCUUCCCCUUUAUUGUGCUCUGCCAUAGCUAGAUCUGAGACAUUAUGUGCAUUAACAGUUAAACAGAUUUUAUUCCAUUGAAUGAAAUAGUAAUUGCUAUAGAGCUAUUAUUGAUCUAGAGCAAAAUAUUUGAUUUUACAAAUAUUUCUCAUAAAUGUAUGGCACAUAUUUAUGGACAAAACUUCCCAGCAGUGUCCUUACUAACACUUUAAAAAGGAAUUUGCAGAGGAAGAAUUGUGCUUUGUGUAGAAAUGAGCACAAACUUUUUUUAUUACAAAUUUAUUUUCUCUAAAGACUCUCUGUCCUACUCUGGUCUCCCUGUCUGUAGCUCUCAGCUUUAUCAGCUGCAAUUCCUACAUCUCUUCCACUGCCAGAAUUUUUAAUUAAGAAUAAUACAAAAUAUAGAUCUUGUUGGGGUUAUACUGUACACUACAAGUCAUGCAUCAAUGCACUUGUUCUGAACACAUGCUGUUUUUUCAGGUAAUUAUAUUCCUUCAAUUCUGAGAUGACUUGAUAUUAAUAACCAUCAUAAAUUGAUAUCAGCUCUAGGACCUUAAAAAAUUACCUCUUCUUUUCAGUAAACAAAGACAUAUUAGGCUUAAUGUCAAAUUCUGUUAUGGUAAAAAUGUGAAAAACUCAAGUCUUAGAAGAUAAAAUUCUACACAAAUAUGCUGAACAUACUCCCAAGCCUUGGAUUUUAUCUGUUCUUACUAUAGCCUUAUUAUGAGGGGCUUAUUGUUAUAUCUAAUUAGGUGAAUCUUUAAGAAGCAGUUUUCAAUUCUGGAGAUAAGCUUUUUGUUAAAGUCAUUUCCUAUUAAGAGGCUGAGGCUCAGGAAUUUAAUUCUGAGGCUAAAUAGCUGCAAAGUCAGAGCUCCAAUUCCCUCAAUUACACAGGGCAAUCUUCUUUAAUGCAAAAGUCUCCAUGUAAAUAGAAGAGAGAUGAGUGGAAUAGAGGAGGGUAUUAGGGACAGGAAGAAAAGAUGGUGUUCUAGUCAGCUUUUUCCACUCCUGUGACUAAAGGAUCUGACUAGGACACGUAUAGAGGAGGAAAAGUUUAUUUGAGGGAUCACAUUUUCAGAGGUCUUAGUCCAUAGAAGGCCAGCUUCAUUCCUCCACACUCAAGAUGAGGUUGAACAUCAUGGUGGGAGAGUGAUAGAGGGAAGCAGCUCACAUCAUGGUGAUCAGGAAGCGGAGAAACUCCACUCCAAUACAAAUAUAUCUGUAUAUAAUUAAAAGCUACGCCCCAGUUCCCACCUCCUCCAGCCACACCCUACCACUUCAGUUACCACUCAAUUAAUCCCUAUUAAGGGAUUAAAUCACUGAUUGUGUUAAGACUCUUACCACCCAAUCAUUUCUCCCCUGAACCUUCUUGCAUUGUCUCACAUGUGAACUUCUGGGGAACACCACAGCUAAACCAUAACAGAUGGAAAAAGGGAGGAAUAGUGGAAUGAAUCUGACUGAAUUUCCUGUGUACAUAUAUAUGUACCAGGGAUGUACUACAGUGACUUCUGCCAUUAUAUAUAUACCACCUUAAUGGAAUAAUUUAAAAAUAAAAACUGUAAGGGAAGAGAUAUCAGUAGAGCAGAGAAAAGGGAGGGAACAGGGAGAGGGAGGAGGGGAAGUAAAGGGUAAGAAGUGUGGACUAACUAGCAAAUUAUAUAUCAUGCAUGUAAAUUAUCUCCAAAUGGACCCCAAUAUUAUAUUUAAUGAAUAAAAAAAUUAAAAAGAGAAGAAAAAGUUCUUUCUUUCCCCCAAAUCAAGCAAGUUCUUAUUAUUGUGAAAGUAAACAUCUUGUGUAUGGAAACAACAUGGUUUUUGUAAAUGGAACCUUUAUAUGAUAAAAUAUACUUAGAAAUAUAGCCUAUCCUUUAUUUUUAUGCCCUUGUUUAGCCACAAAUAAAUUCAUAUAACAAGUAUUGAAAAUUGGUUUCUAUUUUGAAUAUUUAUCCAAAUAUGUUGGUUUGCAAUUUAGUUUUAUGAUAAUCCCCAAUGUUAGAGCAUAUGCCAUAAAGUACCAAAUAGGGAGAAACUUAUCAAUUUCUGACAAUACAUAUAAUGGGAGCAACAGUCACACAUACAAUUUUCUAGGAUAAUUUUAAAAAGGAAGUCUUACAAAAUCUGCAUGACACACUAAUAUGCAGUCAGCAGUGUAGAGGGAAUAAUUUAAACAUUACAAAAUUUGCAUAUGCAUUAUGCCAGAAACAAAUGAGCAUCUGCAUAUAGUAUAUGUAGGCAAUGUUGUAAGUUUGGGAAAGUUGUAGUUUUAUUUAACAGUAUGAGGUGCUGCUGAGGUUUUAGGGAUGUUGUUAUCUGGCCAGGGAUAGCCAGAAUUUAUGAGGGGCCACUAAGGUUUUAGGGAGGGUUGUUAUCUGGACAAGGAGACAUGGGUUAGUUCAGAGCACAGGCAGGAAUUCAAAACAAAUUUAACCCUCACAGUAUGAUCAGGCCAAAUAGAUUUCUUAGUAUUUUAGAGUUAAACAGAAACAAACUUUUAUAAAUUUAUGAUGAGAUGGCUCCCAAUCUUAGGUUGGAAUUAGGUUGGGUUCAGCAAUACAUGGUAUCAGAAUGGACAUACAAGUAUAUGAGUGCUCAUAAAUUAAGAUUUAAAUAAGAAAUGGAUUCAAAUACCUUCAAUUCAUAUGACUUUAAAAAAGGGAUUUAGUUUAACAACAGAUGAGAGUAAAUAUGUCUUCAAAAUUGCUAACUGAUAAAUUUUUCCAGGUAGUCAGACAAUUAAUAGAGUUUUGGUUUCUAUAAAAUGUCUAGAAUGUAAUAUUCUAUAAUUGUUUUCAACAAGAAAGAGAUGGCUAAUGCUAUUCACUACACUUGUCUAAUAUCUUCCUUUUACAGUUAAAAUUAAAUAAAUUAGCUUCAACAUCAGUGGGAUUAAGCCUCAUAAAUGUAUCUGUUAAGGAGACUUCUGAUAAAGUUACAACAUUAAAUUAUUAAAAUAUCAACUGCUAAAUAAAAAAGCAAAAAUUUCUUAAAAUUACAUAAGGGAAUAUAUUGAAACAUUAUGUGUAUUUUCAUAAAUGGGUAAGUGAAAAAGGUUUGAGAUUGCUUUGUGUCUGUGUCUUCACUAAAACGAGGUUACUAAGAGUCAAGAUUCUGUCAAGUGAAAUUUAUAUACAAAGUGUAUAAGAGGUUUCAGUUAGUCUUCAAUUAAAUUACCAUAAAAACAUAAAAAUAUUUUAUCCCAUUAAAGGGAAGUAAUCUUUCUAAAUCCAGAAAUUUCAUAAGAGGUGUUUCAGAAUGUGAAUUUUAAGAAAGUGUUCAACAGCCAGGAAAGAGAUAGAAGAAGGUUCUAUAUAUGGAUCUAUACUUUAGUAUGGAAAGUAGAAGUUAAAAUAAUGUUUCUGUAUAAGGAAGUUUUUUGUGUGGUAAAAAAUGUCUAAGUAAGUUGCAAAAGGUUUGUGAACAGUAAAUUUUAAGAAGUAUGUAAUUAUAUUGAUUGUAUAUAAUUAACAUAAUUAAUGCAAGAUUUUUCCUUAAGAUCAAAUAUUAAUGUAUUGAUACAAACCAAAGUUUAAUUCUCUAUGGGUUAAAGUAAUAAAGACUUCUUAAACAUUGAUCUGCUCUUAUUUAUCAAGAUAAUUUCUUGUGGUCUUUUAAGUUUUAUUCUUUAGAGGAAAUAGUAUUAAAGGAAUUAGGGUUUCUACAAUUCUGCUUUAUUUUAGAGCAAUACAUUACAUUACUAAGUCAAAAAUUUUCUUUAAAAACGGAACUUGGUUAAUAUAAGGACAUCAGUGUUAUCAUGGGACAAUUACUGCCUUCUUUGUCAUAUCUUCUGGGUAUACAAGUCUUUAAAAUAUAAGGUUUAAAGGAGCAUUUUAUCAAGCUGUUGUUCUUCAUACUAAGGUUUAAAGCAAAGGUUUAAUUUUAAAAAUUGUUUGUUCAUAGCUAUUAUGCCAACUCAAUAUGUUUUUAUUAUUGUUAAUUUCAUUUUGUAUUUCCUUUGUAAAUUCCAUUGUCUGUUAGUGCCUUACAGAAAUACAAUUUUCUAAAACAAUGUGAAUUAAUUUGAGAUAAUAGGUCAUCAUAUAUAGACAGGAUAUAAGGCUAACUUCCAGUACUAAUUCUGACCCCAAUUAAAUAAAAGAGGUUAAGGACUGUUAUAGAUAUAUAUUAAAGUUAAAACCAGUACUCUUACUUUAAGAUGAGUGAAACUGGAUUGCUGAAUGUUUAAGAACAAAACUUGGAGACUAAAGUCAAGGAAAUAAAAGAACCAAAAAGGGGGAGGGGGGGGAGAGAAAAUAGGCAAUAUUUGGCUCUUGCCCUCUGAGUCAGUCUGAACCCAGGGAACAAGGGAACUUUUUUAAAGGCUUUGAAACUCUGGGCCACAUGACCUCCUAAUUAGGGGGAUCUAUGAGUCCAUGGAGGACAGAAUGCUGACCUGUUUACAUGCUGCAAAAGAAAAGGGUUAUUGAUGAAGGGAGCCAUCCCUGAUACUUCCGAAGAAGCCACAUCAUCAAGGAAACCCUAACCCAGCCUGGAAGAGGGCACCAAAAGACCUAAGAGGCUGUUCUCAACUUCCCUAAGAGUAGCCCCUUGAGGAAACUCAGCUGACAUUUAACAAUAGAUAGAAACAAGGUCAUUUGACCACCUUGGUCUUGAACACCUAGAAAAAAAAAAGAGUUAUUACCAAAGUAUAGCCGUACCUGGGCAAUUAAAACAGAAAAAGAUAACAAUUCUUUUAAUAGAAUGUAGGACAUACACUUAAGUCAGCCUCACAGCUCUGAUGCCUCCCAAAUUAUGAGCUUUUUUUUUUUUUUCUUUAUGAAGCUCAUAUGUGCCCCUGCCUACCAAAACAUGAACUGGCCUCUUUUCCUUGGUCUUUCUCCAAUUUACUCCUCAAAUUGAUGUUUUACCUAACAGCCAAAGAUAGCCUAUCCCAAUAAUGACACACACAGACACAAGGGAGCCCUUUGGCUUAUUCCCUUAAUCAUAGGUCUAGAAAUAUGCACUGGGAUUGUCACAGGAGCAGCAAGAUUCGGAACCUCUAUGCACUACCCUAAAAAGUUGUCAGAACAAGUUACUGAGGCCAUCCACUAGGUCACUGAAUCAGUACUGACUUUGUUUACAAAAUCAAUUGGAUUCCCUGGUGUCUGUCAUCCUGCAAAACUGCUGGGGUCUAGAUUUCCUUACUGCCAAACAAUGUGGCUUCUUCCUCUUCCUCAGAGAAGAAUGUUGCUUCCAUCAAUCAGAAGUAGUAAAGGAUAAGGUUAAAUAAUUACACAACCAAUUGAAACAAAGGAAGCUAGAACUGGCUGAUUCCUGAUGAUCCUUAUUGGGGGACAUAAAACAGUGGACUUCCUGGUUAUCCCCCUAGUAACUCCUUUAAUAUUCAUCUUCCUCAUAAUAACAUUUCUUCCCUGUAUCCUUAACUUCAUACAGAGAUAACUUCUUAGUAAAGUGACCCAUUGGACUCAAACUACUUCCCAGGGACACCUCAAAGCCAUUCUCCUGCCUUCAUGAUUGGAUUCCCAGAAACCACAGGAAAAGAUUGCCUGCAGCAACCCUGAAGCCUCUUCCAUAUACAAGACUCUUCCAUAUACACCCCAACUGCCAGUUUCUGUAACCUCUUCCAAGUUUCUGAAAGGAGAUCCUUCUAACUUUAUCCCCUCCUAGCAGGAAGUAGCCAGAUAUGAUGAUGUCACCCCAACUCAUUAUACCCCUUUCAGAGUCUGGAUGAAGGACCAGGAGAAUAGGCCCCAGCACAUUUUCCCUAUCUGCAGCUAUUCCCCCACCCACCUUCCUGCCAGGUGUGCACAUGGAGAUAUCUGUGGUAAAUUGGAGCUUUUGUCAUUUAGAAGGCCAGGCCUCAGCCAGAGGGAAGGCAAGAAGGGAACCCUGGAGGACAUAAAAGAAACUCACACCUCACUCCCACCUGACUGAUUUGGCUGACCCUAGUACAUAGGACCCUAAAUGAGCCCACCCAAAAUGGCUGAGCAACUCUUCCAAUGAACUAGUCCUGCUAGACCCUAUACAACUCAGACCCUUUGUGAGGAUGACUUUAGGCCUGAACCUAAGCAACUUCAUUUUAAAAACUCCAAUUUGAAACCUGCAGUCUCACCAGGCACAUCUAACAGAGCCCUCUAGUAUCGCCCUCAGACAAGUCAUUUCACCUCACCCUGAUAAACAAAGUGAAGCCUCUGGUAGGCUGCCCUGGCCUGAUAAGAGGGAAAGGUGAGAAGAUCAGGGUGGAGACCACCAGACCAGAUGUUUCAGACCCAAGGGUAAAUGAUUUUAUGGAGAAAUCCAGGGGUCGCUGAUAAGGAUUGAAAUGGGGGGUCAAAAGCCCCCAAAUUUAGUAUAAAUAAUAGAGUUAAUGAACAGGGAUUCAGCCAGCUGAAACAAGAAUGCACUCGAGCUGGAGAGCCUAAUGAGGACCUGGACUGACAUUCUACCACUGGUCAUCCUUUUCCUGAUCCUCUGCAUGAUCUUCACCGCUCUCAAACUCUACUGCCUCCUCUGGACCCUGGUGAGAGCUGCAACUGCUCCCUUUGACCCUCUCCUCAACAGGUCGUCCACUCCACACCAGGAAAUACCUGCCUUAGAUCCGGACCUGAUCACCACAGUCUGAGUAAAUGUGCAUCUUCUGGAUGUAAAGCCUAAGGCUUAAGACUUUUGAACUUAGCAUGCAAAGGGAAUGUCUGUCAUUAGCUUGUCAUGAUUAAAUGUGUUUUCAGUGUUUAGAAUUAAUCUAGAAUUGUUUGCUGUGAAUUGUUUAUGUCCAUUGUAGUGCCUAGCAUUAAGGAUUGUCAUUUUCUUGAGUAAGAACCUAUAAAGUGAAAUUGUAUUGAGUGUUUUGAGUGAAUAAAGCAUUGAAAAGGACAGAAGCACAUGGACAUUCUUUAUUUCUCCCCCUUGACUGCUUACGUCACAAUUUUGUCUCACCACGACACACUUGUUGUAGCCCUU
This 14365-nucleotide long non-coding RNA is filed under the name Marmota monax (woodchuck). Lineage: Eukaryota; Metazoa; Chordata; Mammalia; Rodentia; Sciuridae. The record is from RNAcentral.